AUUGAACGCUGGCGGCAGGCCUAACACAUGCACGUCGAGCGGAGCGGCGGACGGGUGAGUAAUGCCUAGGAAUCUGCCUGGUAGUGGGGGAUAACGUCCGGCAACGGGAGCUAAUACCGCAUACUAUCAGAUGAGCCUAGGUCGGAUUGGCUAGUUGGUGGGGUAAAGGCCUACCGAGGCGACGAUCGGUAACUGGUCUGAGAGGAUGAUCAGUAACACUGGAACUGAGACACGGCCCAGACUCCUACGGGAGGAAGAAUGGGGGAAUAUUGGACAAUGGGCGAAAGCCUGAUCCAGCCAUGCCGCGUGUGUGAAGAAGGUCUUCGGAUUUUAAAGCACUUUAAGUUGGGAGGCGGUACCAACAGAAUAAGCACCGGCUAACUACGUGCCAGCAGCCGCGGUAAUAC
RNAcentral lists this ribosomal RNA (407 nucleotides) under uncultured bacterium. RNAcentral's name for it is "partial 16S ribosomal RNA". It matches the Rfam family "Bacterial small subunit ribosomal RNA", at positions 30 to 526 of the family's 1533-position model. The record is from RNAcentral.